CUACGGGGUGCAGCAGUGGGGAAUAUUGCACAAUGGGGGAAACCCUGAUGCAGCAACGCCGCGUGGAGGAUGACGCAUUUCGGUGUGUAAACUCCUUUUAUAUAGGAAGAUAAUGACGGUACUAUAUGAAUAAGCACCGGCUAACUCCGGUGCCAGCAGCCGCGGUAAUACGGAGGGUGCAAGCGUUACUCGGAAUCACUGGGCGUAAAGCGCGCGCAGGCGGCCUUUUAAGUUGGAUGUGAAAGCCUAUGGCUUAACCAUAGAACUGCAUCCAAAACUAUCAGGCUAGAGUCUGGGAGGGAAGAUGGAAUUAGUUGUGUAGGGGUAACAUCCGUAGAGAUAACUAGGAAUACCAAAAGCGGAGGCGAUCUUCUGGAACAGUACUGACGCUGAGGCGCGAAAGCGUGGGGAGCAAACAGGAUUAGAUACCCCUGUAGUC
RNAcentral lists this ribosomal RNA (439 nucleotides) under uncultured bacterium. RNAcentral's name for it is "partial 16S ribosomal RNA". It matches the Rfam family "Bacterial small subunit ribosomal RNA", at positions 339 to 795 of the family's 1533-position model. The record is from RNAcentral.